Molecule: ribosomal RNA, 409 nt
Filed under: uncultured eukaryote
Lineage: Eukaryota
Description: bacterial SSU rRNA
Rfam family: Eukaryotic small subunit ribosomal RNA
Source: RNAcentral
CAAUAACGUAUGUUAAAGUUGUUGCAGUUAAAAGCUCGUAGUUGUAUUUCUGGGUGGUUUGGCGGCGAGCGCCGAACGGCGUGUCGACGCCGAGCCAUCUUUUCGUCUAUGGGCCGCGUCUGGUCUUUGUUGACUGUGGCGCGUCGCAUAGGCCUUUUACUGUGAGAAAAUUAGAGUGCUCAAGGCAAGCCAAUGCGUUUGAAUAUUACAGCAUGGGAUAACAAAAUACGACUUCGUGCUAUUUUGUUGGUUUCUUAGAACGGAAGGUAAUGAUUGAUAGGGAGUGGUUGGGGGUGGCUAGUAUUUCGUCGGCCAGAGGUGGAAAUUACAUGGAUUCGCGAAAGACUAACUAAUGCGAAAGCAUUCACCAAGGACGUUCCUUUUAAUUCAAGAACGAAAGUUAGAGGGA